Ixodes scapularis (black-legged tick) is the source of this 145-nucleotide long non-coding RNA. RefSeq lists it as uncharacterized. The transcript has 3 exons. The record is from RefSeq and is a predicted model, not a curated record. NCBI's taxonomy places the organism in Eukaryota, Metazoa, Arthropoda, Arachnida, Ixodida, Ixodidae.
GCCGCGUCGUGGCAGCCUGCGUCUGAGCAUGUGACCGCGCAGCGCACUGACGACACUGACUUGGGUGCCGCGUCGUGGCAGCCUGCGUCUGAGCAUGUGACCGCGCAGCGCACUGACGACACUGACUUGGGUGCCGCGUCGUGGC